UAGUUCUGACUCUACCCUCUGCUGAUACAUCCGAUAUAACACAAAUGACGCAUUGUCGAUCGCGUAACACUCUGGAAGUAGACUUGAACUGUAAAUUUUGAAUUUUGCAUUGUGAGGGAGGGGUGUGGUGGAGUUGUGGUGACAAGUGUUGGCUUGUGAAUAUGGUGUAGUUUUUAUAACAAACAAUUAUGGAUCAAUCAGACUGCUGAUAUCGUGCCACACUGCCACCAGUUGGAGAAACAAGAUUUUUGCCUAUAAAUCAAAAUCCGAGACACGAGUCGGCAUCAGUAUUUGUUUUGAUUUACCCUUUGAAGCACAGGGAACAUCUUUAUCCUGCCCUUAGGCCUUAGGCCUGCCACGUCUUCAACAUGUUCUUCAGCAGCCGCGUGACGCCGCUGGUGGCGGCCCUUCCCCUGGUGCUGCUUCUCUGCGUACAGACGGCGAUAGCACUUCAAAGGCCGCCGCUGAUCACCAAGCAGCCGCCGACGACCGAGCUGCUCUUCCAGGUGAAGCAGAGAAACGACGAGAACGACCGACCGUUUAUCAUCGAGUGCGAGGCCGAUGGCGAGCCGCAGCCCAGGUUCUCCUGGUUCAAGAACGGCAAGCCGUUCCACUGGCAGGUGUACGACAAGCGGAUGUCGAAACAGCCCGACCGGGGUACCCUGGUGAUCACCUCACCUAGCGACGAGGACAUAGGAGCGUACCAGUGCAAAGCGACCAACGAGCACGGCACGGCUACGUCCAACUCCGUGCACGUCCGGAAGUCGGACCUGAACUCGUUCAAGGUGGCGCCACCGGUCACCAUGUCAGCUAACGAGGGAGAGCCGAUAGUGCUCAACUGCGAGCCGCCGGAGGGCUACCCGGCGCCCCUGGUGCACUGGAUGUACCAGGGUGACGGCGGCUCUCUGUCGAGCAUCAACUCCUCUCGGAAGACGGUGGACCCUUUCGGAAACCUGUGGUUCAGCAACGUGACCCUGAAGGACGCCAGCGAGGGCUUCGUCUACGCCUGCUCGGCCACGUCACCCUUCCGGAGCGAGUACAAAGUCGGUAACCGCGUGAGUCUGAACGUGCUGCGCACGGGCAGCGUCAGCUCCAAGAACAAGCGGCAGCCGACGGAGCAGUACGUAUCGCCCAAGAACAUCGCAGCCAUCAAGGGCAGCACAGUCGAGAUCUGGUGUAUCUACGGCGGAACGCCGCUGCCACGCACCCAGUGGCAAAAAUCCAACGGGCCGCUAGACCUUAGCGACGGACGCAUCAAGAUGAACAACUUCGGAAAGUCGCUGGUGAUCCGGAAUGUGGACUUUAGUGACGAGGGCGAGUACGUGUGCACGUCCAGUAACGGCGUGGGCACGGCGCAGACACGCUCCUUCAAACUGCGCCUCGAGUCCGUGCCCGAGUUCACCAAAGAGCCCGAGGUGAAGAACGCUGCCGAGGGCGAGACGGUGGUGUUCGAGUGUGACGCCGUCGCCGUGCCCAAACCGGACAUCAAGUGGACGCACAACGGCCUGCCGCUGAGCGAGGCCGAGCCCAACCCGCGCCGCAUCGCCACCCCCAACAAGAUCACCAUCCGCGACCUGCGCAAGUCGGACACGGGCAACUACGGCUGCAACGCCACCAACAACAACGGCUAUGUCUACAAGGACGUGUACGUGAACGUGUUGGAGCUGCCGCCGGAGAUCGUGAAGCGGCCGCAGGACGUGGCCACGGUGCAGGGCACGGACGUGGAGAUGGUGUGUGAGGUGUUCGGCGCGCCUCUCCCGGAGGUGAAGUGGCUCUACGGAGGGGAGGACGGUGACGAGAGGACAGGGGGACGGUUCCAGACCGCUCCAGACGGCACGCUCACCAUCAAGCGCGUCUCCUCGUCGGACGCCGGUACCUACAUGUGUCUGGCCACCAGCCGACUGGGCAGCGACCAGGCAGAGGGAACGCUCGUCGUGAAAGAGCCGACCAAGAUCACACAGGGCCCGGAGGACUACCAGGUGGUGGCUGGCAACUCCGCCACGUUCCGGUGCACUGCCACUGUCGACCCGACCCUGGAGCUGAGCAUUGACUGGCUGGCCGACGGCGUACCCAUCAACUUUGAGACUGAGCCGAGGUUCAUCCAGACCUCGGACAACUCGCUGACCAUUACCAAGACGACCGAGCUCGACUCGAAGCGCUACACAUGUGUGGCCUCGACGGAGCUGGACAGUGCAGAGUCCAACGCUACGCUCAAGGUCGAGGACGUACCCAACGCGCCCGUCUUCAAACACGCCACCUGCAGGGAGCGUAGCGCCGACGUCGAGUGGGCCCCGAACGGCGACAACCGGGCGCCGAUCCUGCGCUACAUAAUCCAGUACAACACCAGCUUUACCCCCGACACCUGGGUGGAGGCGGCCGAGACCAAGAGCUCCGACAACAGCUACGUGGUGUCGCUGAGUCCGUGGUCCAACUACACCUUCCGAGUGAUUGCCGUCAACCGCGUGGGACCGUCCCUGCCGUCCGGCCACUCGGAGGUGUGCACGACGCCGAAAAAUCUGCCCGAGAAGAACCCGGAGAAUGUGGAGGGUCGCGGCACGGAGCCCGACAACCUGGUUAUCCGCUGGACGCCGAUGUCUGAGAUCGACCACAACGCGCGCAAGUUCCGCUACCGCGUCUACUGGAAGCGUAACGACACGGAUGACGAGUGGAACCAGGAGGUGGUGACCGACUGGCGCCGCAGCCACCUGCUGAUCCCCAACCAACCCACCUACGUGCCGUAUCGGAUACGGGUGGAGGCACAGAACGAGCUGGGCGAGAGCAAGGUCUCGCCCGUGGAGGUGAUCGGAUACUCCGGAGAGGACGUACCGACGGCGGCGCCAACUAAUUUCCGUCUGGUGCAGAUCCACGACGGCAAGCGAGCCACCUUCUCCUGGGACCCGGUGGACAACAGCACCCUGCGCGGAGAGUUCCUCGGUUACCGGAUUCAAACAUGGACGGAGAGUGAAGGACGCGAAAAGAUGCGCAAAAUGUCCUUCGAGUCGACGGCCACCAAGGGCCUGGUGGACAAGUUCAAGCCUCACGCGCGCAACAAGGUGCAGAUUCUGGCGUUCAACCGGGCCUACGAGGGUCCGCCCAGCGAGGUGAUCACCUUCAACACGCCAGAAGGACGACCCAGCGCCGUGGACUCUCUGGAGGCCAUCCCGAUGGGCUCAUCUGCCUUCUUCCUCAUCUGGAAGAAGCCUCUCGAGCCGAACGGCAUCCUGACCGGCUACAAGAUCCAGUACCAGACGGUGCAGAACCUGACCAUGGGCCCCCUGCUGGACCGCACGCCGCAUAUCGACGAUCCGCGCGUCACGCGGGCCAAGCUGGCUACUCUGAAGCCGUCGACCAAGUAUCGGAUCCACGUGCGCGCGCUGACGGCCGCCGGAGAGGGAGAGGCGUACUUCAUUGAGCGCACCACGCGCGACCCGAUGCCCCGCCCGCCGGACCGUCCCAGUCUGGUCUGGUCACACGUGCCCAAUGACGACGGCACCGAGGGGAACAACCUGAAGAUCACCUGGCUGCCCAACACGCAGGGCCGGCCGGGCUCGCACUUUUUCGUCCAGUACCGCCGACACGGAGAGAGCGACUUCCAGAAGACCCCGCCCGAGUACUACAACGAUAGUAUCGUGCUGCGGGACCUGGAGCCCGGAAUGGUGUACGAGAUCAGGACUGUGUCCGUGGACGGCGUCUACUACCAGGCCUCGGAUAUUGAGGAGGUGGAGACCUACUCUCCGAACGCUCCGUACGCUCGUCCCGUCGAGUCCGUCCACACCUCGGGCUGGUUCAUCGCCAUGAUGCUGGCCGUGGCACUGCUGCUUCUGAUCCUGGUCCUGGUCUGCAUCGUGCGCCGCAACCGCGGAGGAAAAUACGACGUUCAGGACCGCGAGAUCGCGCACGGGAGAGGAGACCUCUACCCGGAGGAUGGCUUCCAGGAGUACCAGCAGCCGCUGGAGGCGAAGAUGCCUCCGGGCGGUCGCGGCAGCGUCAGCUCGGACGUCAAACACCCGCACGAGAGUGACACGGACUCCAUGGCAGAGUACGGCGACGACCCGGCAGGUCAGUACGGUGACGACCCGGCAGGUCAGUACGGUGACGACCCGGCAGGUCAGUUCGGCGACGACCCGGCAGGUCAGUACGGUGACGACCCGGCAGGUCAGUACGGUGACGACCCGGCAGGUCAGUACGGCGACGACCCGGCAGGUCAGUUCGGCGGGCGCCGAGAGUCGCCGGUGGUCACCAAUCACUGCUGCCGGUCACUCUUAGAAUACAGCCAGUCACCGCUUGGAGUGUGAUUGUUCAUUUUUACCGCCUGCGCUUAUAAUUGGAUUUAGUUUUAUACAUGUUAUUGAUAAAUAGCUUGUUUUUAACCCGUAGAAUGAUAUUUUCUAUGUGUGUAUUAUUAGAUCAGUCAACUUACCACCAUAUUACGUUGCAGUUUUAAUGCCUUAUAUAAAGUUGGUUUCAUAAAUUAAGCAACAGUAUAAAUCUUUUUAUUAUGCUUGUGUCCACUUUUCAGUAUAUUUGUGCACGAGCUCGCUUUUUAUCACUAGAUGUGCCUUUCCGUUGUUGGUGGAUGACACGUCACCCCACGCCCGUUCGUGUUUACGUGACCCAAUACAUAUGACCUAGUCUGCCCCGCCCCUCCCCACGUGCACCCCUCCACUGCAUGGUGCGAACUGUUCCACCGGGUCGCUCCCCGCGCGACCCUGUCGGAGCCCCCGGUCGCCUGGUUCGGUUGUCCCGCCGCCGCCCGGUUCCGUUGUCUGUCUGUGUGCCCGCCGGCCGUCCGGCUCCGCCCCUCACGGCUCAGCUGUGUCCCACUGACGGUCCGGCCCCGCCGCGCCGUCGCAGAGGGUAUGAACGAGGACGGCUCGUUUAUCGGCCAGUACGGCCGCGGUCGGAGGCAGCACGGUGCUCCGAUGCCGCCGCCGGCCGUCGACAAAGUCGGUACCUUCGUCUAGCCGCCCGCCGCCGCCGCCGCCACCGCCGCCACGCACGGCCGUUUCACCGAGGACGGCUCGUUCAUUGGUCAGUACGGCGCACAGAAGCGCAAAGGCUCGCCGCCCACGGGUGCCGCCUACGUCUAGUGAACGAUGAACGUCUCCGGGGAGAACUGCCGGCCUCGCGGGCACCAGGAGAGGGCGAAAUUCUCGCGAAAUUGCGCGGAAAUCGUGCGGAAAUCGCUCGCGUUUCGUGCGUAAGUCGUGCGAGACUGUGCUGCUGCGUGGCGUGGUGGGAAAGUGCUGGUGUUCGGAGGGGUGAGAAAGGACAGGAAAGGGCCGCAGAGGGGCCAGAAAACUGAUCUGAUCUGAUUUGAAAGAUCGUGCGUCCCAUCACUAGAUCUGAGAUUGAUUGAUCUGAGGCACCGAUGAUCUGAUGUCACGUCUAAGAUCUGAGAUGAAGGAUCUGAGACGAAGCGUCUACCCCGGGAUCUGAAGACGCGGAGAGAGAGAGAAAGAACGAUAGCAUUCCUGUGCGCUAUUUUACCGACCGCUUCUGCCGUACCCGUGCCGGCCUCGCGGCGCGGUCGCUGGCUGCGCCUGGCAGUGUUUCUGUGCAGCUAUGAUUGUUUCCGGCGCCGCUGCCGGGGCGUGACGCCUCCCGAUCAUGCCAGAUCAUGUCAUUCCUGUCUGGGCGAGCCUGUACAUACAUAUAUUCCACACACAUAUGCAUACCGCCACGUCGAGCGCCGCCAGAAGAGAUCUCCGGUGGUCGCGCUGGCACCGUUAUCGUAGCUCGUGACAAAGAUUGGCCAUUAGUACUUUUGGACCAUUAAGCAUUUGAGUUCUAUUCAGGCUUCGUCAUUAUCAUUUGAAUGUGUUCGUCUUUUUAUGACAGGCUCACGACUUCUGGCGCUGUGGAGCUGCACUUUUUACGGCGAACGGCAGCCAGCCGUCCCUUCGUGAGCGAGAGAGUUUAUAUUUAGUGAUGGCGUCGGUUUCGUGUUUUGUUGGUUAGUCCGUUACAUUAUCAAUUUUCCAUUUUUGGUAUGUCGGGCUCAGCAUGAUUUGGCUGAGCGUAUGUGUGUUGAUACAUUUGUAAACGAGGCGCGUGUUAAGUGCCUAGAGCGUUAGUUCUUCCGCGCGAGUCGGACAGGGUUCGGUCGGGGCUUGGCUGCCGCAGCCGCACCGUCGCUACGUCAGCGUUUGGCCGCUGUUUCGCUCACCGUUUCCGGCUAUCUGCACACUGUGUUCUCUUGUGUCGUUCGACGCGCGCGAUCCGCCCCGUUCAGUAUGUAGGUGUGAGAGUGACGUGCGUAUUUUGAUGUCAAAUAAACACAGUCCGAACGCCAA
Molecule: RNA transcript, 6296 nt
Organism: Amphibalanus amphitrite
Lineage: Eukaryota; Metazoa; Arthropoda; Thecostraca; Balanomorpha; Balanidae
Gene name: neuroglian-like
Exons: 20
Source: RefSeq, a predicted model, not a curated record